This 245-nucleotide long non-coding RNA is filed under the name Lathyrus oleraceus (garden pea). RNAcentral describes it as "Pisum sativum (pea) long non-coding RNA (PSAT_LNC005658)". The record is from RNAcentral. Lineage: Eukaryota; Viridiplantae; Streptophyta; Magnoliopsida; Fabales; Fabaceae.
AAUCUCCCCCUUUGUCAAAUUUUGGCUAAAACAAUCCUUGCAUAGACCAACAGGAAUGAGGGUAAGGAUCAUAGAAAUAAACCAUCAUGAAACACCCGAAAUCCUUUUUCUCUUAAGAACACCAGAGGCAGGCACAAUGAAAAAAAUGCCUCAUACUAUCUCCCACGAAGACCCUACCUAAGAGAGAAAAAUAAGUUCACUUUAGCCAGGAUGUCAGGAUAUUGUUCCUAACAUUAUUAACAUUA